Vigna radiata var. radiata (mung bean) is the source of this 2601-nucleotide long non-coding RNA. RefSeq lists it as uncharacterized. NCBI's taxonomy places the organism in Eukaryota, Viridiplantae, Streptophyta, Magnoliopsida, Fabales, Fabaceae. The record is from RefSeq and is a predicted model, not a curated record. The transcript is spliced from 3 exons.
AGCAAAUUGUUUUUUUAUUUUUGGUUUUAUUAUAUUUAUUUUCGUUGGGCCUGGCACCCCAAGCCCAAAACUCUCCCUUCUGACCUAGAAACUUUCUAGGGGUCGAAUCCUUUUCCUUCAUUUCCCACUCUCUCGUCUCAAGCACCCAGGGACUCAAAUCCCCUUCUCUCGUACCAGCCAAGGGUUGAGGCCGCACACUACCAUAUCCCGAUCAGCCACCGCACCCAUCCAGCUCCGUUCAAACUAUCACCGGCGACGGCAGCCGCCACCGGAACCAUGGCCGGCCACGCAUCCUCACUGCAUCUCCCUCUCAGGGUGCGCCUUUCUCAAGCCCACGCACGCCAUCGCCCCUGGCAUUCACUCACGCCUAGACCGAUCACCGUAGCCAGCGCCGCUCACAAAUCGCCGGCAAUUCCUCCCUGAAGCCACCACCGGCGACAAUGCUCCCCCUCUCCUCCUGUGUUCGCGCUAGGCUAGGGUUGGAGUUUCUCCCCUUGACGUUGUUUGCCGCCGUCUCGCCGCCACCGCCGUCACGAGCCGCCGCCACAGAAACGCCUCGUAUCAACACACCCGGAAUCGCGCAACCCUGUCGCGUGAGAGUUCGAAGCCUUGGCCGCAGAAGCCUAACGCCGACGCACCAACAACAGCGGCAAUGCCCUGCUUCUACACUUCCGUCACCGCGCCCGCCGCCUGCCUCAACUCGUUUACCUUUUCUUCUACCUUUCUUUGAUUGCUAUAUUGGUGAUGGGGAAAUGGUUUUCUUUGUUUCAGGUUUUGGAUAGAAAAAAAUGAAAUAUUGGAACAUUAUCGGCGACUCGAAUGCUCCAAGAGCGAAUGAGGGAGGUUUGGAUUUCCGUUGUGGUGGUUGAGUGUGAUGGUAUGAUGUGUGAAUUGGGAUGAGGGAUAAUGAUAAGGAGAGGUUGAACUUGAUAUGGUUGGUGUGAAUGUUGUGACCCUGUAUCAGGCUAGGAGUUUGAUUCAGGCCAAGGUUGACGGCGUUCAGGUUUCGGGUGGGAAUGGGAAGAAGAGUUGAUUUUUGACAUGGUCAAGGUUUCGUGUUGGUUGGUGAGGAAAGGAUUCAGAGAUCCACGUUCACUUUCCCUUUUUCAUUAUAUUGGUGCUUGGUUUUGGGGGAGAAUGAGGGGUGGCAGAAUUAGUGGCAUGAAAAACGAUGGGUUCCAAAAGAUGCAAAGGUCAUCAGGGAUGUGCCUGAGGCCAUGGCAGGGACAACUUGCGCUCUUACCUAUCAGAGCGGCAGUGGCUGAAAGGAAACAGGGCUACUUCUCCAACUGUCAACUCCGACAUUGCUUACUGUCUUGUUAAAGGAAAAACCGAUUUCAUUCGAAACCAUUGUCACAGUUUUGGUGUUUCCAACUUAGCUGAUGAAUGAACAUUGAUAAACAAAGGGAAGGAACGCCUUGGGAUAUUGAUUCAUUUCAUAAUCAAUUUAAUAAUAUUACAUUCAAUUUCAGUUAGCAACUCAAUUCAAAGCAGAUAAGAUUCAUCACCAUGCCAAUUCACAGAUUUAUACUGUCAUCCAGUAAAAUUAACAAUUGCAGAGCAGUUUCACAAACAUAUCAGUCAGUUCAACAUUCAAGAUGUAAUUAUUUCAAUGAAUUGUUGAAAAUGCUAUUGAAUAUUUGAAGAUUAUUUGGGCCUUAGACGGGAAUGAAAAUAUGACAGUUUUUGGUAAAAGAAGUAUUGCACCAUGGUCUUUAUUUCUUCUUCCACUGUCAAGGAAAAGAAUAUUCUUCUAACUUUCAAAGUGUUAUCUUGAUUUAUUAUAGAGUUACUAUUGUUUGGAUUAUUAAUUUUCAGGGCACAAAUUGACAAUGCUUCCCGUAGAACCCGAACUUAGGAAGAUGCUCAUUUUAGGAACCAUCUUGACUGUUCUUUUGUCGAAGUCCUCUUGAUAGUAAUGGUGGUAAAUUUUAUUAGUUUUGAUGGUAGCAAGUGAGAGUAGUUGUUUUCAAGAGUAUAAUAACUGGAAGCGAGCUAGAGUAAGUUCAUAGAACUAUAAAGCAUGUGCAAUGUAUUGGUUACCUAGUUUGGGACGCUAUAAUUCUGCAUUUGCAGUCCCCUACAUUAUCCUUCGUUUUAGGUUUAACUAUCUAUUCUUAUAAUGGAGGUGGACUUAUAUAAUUUAAACUUUAGUCCAUUUAGGAGAAAUUUUUUUAUUCUUUAUUAAAUCAAAUAUGGUAAUUUGUGAUGUUUAAUUCUAAGUAUUGCAAUUAUUUUCAGCUAAAUCCUCAAUUCUGUAUUGUUUUGCUACUAAUGUCAGGCAAAUCAAGCAUAUAAAGAUAGGCAGUAGCAGGAAGCCAUUGGAUUUUAUACAGAAGCUAUCAAACUCGGUAGUGAUAAUGCAAUGUACUAUAGUAACAGGGCUCAAGCGUAUCUAGAACUUGGAAGUUAUCUUCAAGUUGAGGCGGAUUGUACCUCUGUAUAUCCAGUUAUCUGGACAAAAUGGUGACUUCCUUAAUAAAAAGAAACAUUGUGCAUGGAUUUUGUCAUCAUAGUCUUGCAAAAGCUUGUCUUCAUUCCAAAUAUGAUCCUCACAGAAGCUUGUCUUCAUCACCGUAAGCAUCAACUAAAGAUUGAAAG